Molecule: ribosomal RNA, 1369 nt
Filed under: Arthrobacter sp.
Lineage: Bacteria; Bacillati; Actinomycetota; Actinomycetes; Micrococcales; Micrococcaceae
Description: bacterial SSU rRNA
Rfam family: Bacterial small subunit ribosomal RNA
Source: RNAcentral
AGUUUUGAACCUGGCUCAGGAUGAACGCUGGCGGCGUGCUUAACACAUGCAAGUCGAACGAUGAACCUCGCUUGCGGGGGGAUUAGUGGCGAACGGGUGAGUAACACGUGAGUAACCUGCCCUUAACUCUGGGAUAAGCCUUGGAAACGGGGUCUAAUACUGGAUAUUGACUUUACCUCGCAUGGGGUUUGGUUGAAAGAUUUAUUGGUUUUGGAUGGACUCGCGGCCUAUCAGCUUGUUGGUGAGGUAAUGGCUCACCAAGGCGACGACGGGUAGCCGGCCUGAGAGGGUGACCGGCCACACUGGGACUGAGACACGGCCCAGACUCCUACGGGAGGCAGCAGUGGGGAAUAUUGCACAAUGGGCGAAAGCCUGAUGCAGCGACGCCGCGUGAGGGAUGACGGCCUUCGGGUUGUAAACCUCUUUCAGUAGGGAACAAGGCCAGCAUUUUUGUUGGUUGAGGGUACUUGCAGAAGAAGCGCCGGCUAACUACGUGCCAGCAGCCGCGGUAAUACGUAGGGCGCAAGCGUUAUCCGGAAUUAUUGGGCGUAAAGAGCUCGUAGGCGGUUUGUCGCGUCUGCCGUGAAAGUCCGGGGCUCAACUCCGGAUCUGCGGUGGGUACGGGCAGACUAGAGUGAUGUAGGGGAGACUGGAAUUCCUGGUGUAGCGGUGAAAUGCGCAGAUAUCAGGAGGAACACCGAUGGCGAAGGCAGGUCUCUGGGCAUUAACUGACGCUGAGGAGCGAAAGCAUGGGGAGCGAACAGGAUUAGAUACCCUGGUAGUCCAUGCCGUAAACGUUGGGCACUAGGUGUGGGGGACAUUCCACGUUUUCCGCGCCGUAGCUAACGCAUUAAGUGCCCCGCCUGGGGAGUACGGCCGCAAGGCUAAAACUCAAAGGAAUUGACGGGGGCCCGCACAAGCGGCGGAGCAUGCGGAUUAAUUCGAUGCAACGCGAAGAACCUUACCAAGGCUUGACAUGAACUGGAAAUACCUGGAAACAGGUGCCCCGCUUGCGGUCGGUUUACAGGUGGUGCAUGGUUGUCGUCAGCUCGUGUCGUGAGAUGUUGGGUUAAGUCCCGCAACGAGCGCAACCCUCGUUCUAUGUUGCCAGCACGUGAUGGUGGGGACUCAUAGGAGACUGCCGGGGUCAACUCGGAGGAAGGUGAGGACGACGUCAAAUCAUCAUGCCCCUUAUGUCUUGGGCUUCACGCAUGCUACAAUGGCCGGUACAAUGGGUUGCGAUACUGUGAGGUGGAGCUAAUCCCAAAAAGCCGGUCUCAGUUCGGAUUGGGGUCUGCAACUCGACCCCAUGAAGUCGGAGUCGCUAGUAAUCGCAGAUCAGCAACGCUGCGGUGAAUACGUUCCCGGG